Molecule: unclassified non-coding RNA, 278 nt
Filed under: Hevea brasiliensis (rubber tree)
Lineage: Eukaryota; Viridiplantae; Streptophyta; Magnoliopsida; Malpighiales; Euphorbiaceae
Source: RNAcentral
ACCAGCAAUAAACUGCACAUCAACCGAGUUAGAAAAGCUGAUUGCUUAAAACUGUAUUUGUUAAAACUGAAAUAUUUCUCUUUAAAGGGAUGAUUUAGGACAACAAGUGGUUUGAGAACACCCCAAGAAGAACAAAUGCAUAUUGCGAGUUUUUAUCCUACAUAUCUUGCCUACUUUAUGUUCCCUACAUAUGACAGAUUCUGAUAAAACACUUGUUCCGGAGUGAACAACUCAAGGUCUUCCUCUGAACUUACUAGAGUGUCACCAGUGAAAACUGC